Molecule: ribosomal RNA, 497 nt
Filed under: uncultured bacterium
Lineage: Bacteria
Description: partial 16S ribosomal RNA
Rfam family: Bacterial small subunit ribosomal RNA
Source: RNAcentral
GAUGAACGCUGGCGGCGUGCCUAAUACAUGCAAGUCGAGCGAACAGACGAUGAGCUUGCUCCUCUGACGUUAGCGGCGGACGGGUGAGUAACACGUGGAUAACCUACCUCUAAUACUGGGAUAACUUCGGGAAACCGGUGCUAAUACUGGAUAAUAUAUUGUACCGCAUGGUUCAAUAGUGAAUGACGGCUUUGCUGUCACUUAUAGAUGGUUCCGCGCCGCAUUAGCUAGUUGGUAAGGUAACGGCUUACCAAGGCAACGAUGCGUAGCCGACCUGAGAGGGUGAUCGGCCACACUGGAACUGAGACACGGUCCAGACUCCUACGGGAGGCAGCAGUAGGGAAUCUUCCGCAAUGGGCGAAAGCUUGACGGAGCAACGCCGCGUGAGUGAUGAAGGUCUUCGGAUCGUAAAACUCUGUUAUUAGGGAAGAACAAAUGUGUAAGUAACUAUGCACGUCUUGACGGUACCUAAUCAGAAAGCCACGGCUAACUUCGUG